RNAcentral lists this ribosomal RNA (468 nucleotides) under uncultured bacterium. Its description in RNAcentral is "partial 16S ribosomal RNA". It matches the Rfam family "Bacterial small subunit ribosomal RNA", at positions 28 to 507 of the family's 1533-position model. The record is from RNAcentral.
GACGAACGCUGGCGGCGUGCUUAACACAUGCCAGUCGAACGGAAAGGCCCUGCUUUUGUGGGGUGCUCGAGUGGCGAACGGGUGAGUAACACGUGAGUAACCUGCCCUUGACUUUGGGAUAACUUCAGGAAACUGGGGCUAAUACCGGAUAGGAGCUCCUGCUGCAUGGUGGGGGUUGGAAAGUUUCGGCGGUUGGGGAUGGACUCGCGGCUUAUCAGCUUGUUGGUGGGGUAGUGGCUUACCAAGGCUUUGACGGGUAGCCGGCCUGAGAGGGUGACCGGCCACAAUGGGACUGAGAUACGGCCCAGACUCCUACGGGAGGCAGCAGUGGGGAAUAUUGCCCAAUGGGAGGAAGCCUGAUGCAGCAACGCCGCGUGCGGGAUGACGGCCUUCGGGUUGUAAACCGCUUUCGCCUGUGACGAAGCGUGAGUGACGGUAAUGGGUAAAGAAGCACCGGCUAACUACGUG